RNAcentral lists this small nuclear RNA (329 nucleotides) under Neotoma lepida (desert woodrat). RNAcentral's name for it is "7SK RNA". It matches the Rfam family "7SK RNA". Rfam says of the family: 7SK was discovered as an abundant small nuclear RNA in the mid-70s but a possible function has only recently been suggested. Lineage: Eukaryota; Metazoa; Chordata; Mammalia; Rodentia; Cricetidae. The record is from Rfam by way of RNAcentral.
AGAUGUGAGAAGAAUCUUGUUGCAAUGUCUGCCAUUCCGGUUGUUGCCAGAGGUGAUUUGGCUGAUCUGGUCAACUAGGCAGGUGGCCCCUUCCUCUCUCCAGAUUUAUUGUUUACAAGCUAUAGGCUCCAUCCCCCAAAAAAUGACCUUCUCCAGUAGAAGUCAAGUGUGUAUGAGUAGCUGUGCUUAUUAUGUCCUAGAACUUCAAUAAAAAGCUCCCAUGGCAUGGGGGGAGCUCCCAAGGUCCAUUUGUAGGAGAAUGGAGGGGAAGCAAGCUUCCAAGACUUCAGAUAUUAUCCAGAUGUGCUACUGCAUGAGCAAAGUUGUCU